Molecule: ribosomal RNA, 301 nt
Filed under: uncultured bacterium
Lineage: Bacteria
Description: partial 16S ribosomal RNA
Rfam family: Bacterial small subunit ribosomal RNA
Source: RNAcentral
CAGUCGCCGCGGGAAUACGUAGGGGGCGAGCGUUGUCCGAAGUUACUGGGCGUAAAGCGCGCGUAGGCGGCUUCUUAAGUCUGAGGUGAAAGGUUCAACGCUUAACGUGAACAGUGCCUUGGACACUGGGGAGCUUGAGUAUGGGAGAGGGCAGUGGAAUGGCUGGUGUAGCGGUGAAAUGCGUAGAUAUCAGUCGGAACACCCAUGGCGAAGGCAGCUGCCUGGCCUAAUACUGACGCUGAGGUGCGAAAGCGUGGGGAGCGAACGGGAUUAGAUACCCGUGUAGUCCCUGUCUCUUAUA